RNAcentral lists this ribosomal RNA (537 nucleotides) under uncultured Alphaproteobacteria bacterium. Its description in RNAcentral is "bacterial SSU rRNA". It matches the Rfam family "Bacterial small subunit ribosomal RNA", at positions 73 to 646 of the family's 1533-position model. Lineage: Bacteria; Pseudomonadati; Pseudomonadota; Alphaproteobacteria. The record is from RNAcentral.
GCCGUCUUCGGAUGGUGGACAGUGGCGCACGGGUGAGUAACACGUGGGGACCUGCCUGAUAGUAAGGAAAAACAGUUGGAAACGACUGCUAAUACCUUAUACGCCCUUCGGAGGAAAGAUUUAUCGCUAUCAGAUGGACCCGCGCUAGAUUAGAUAGUUGGUGAGGUAAUGGCUCACCAAGUCUGCGAUCUAUAGCUGGUUUGAGAAGAUGAUCAGCCACAUUGGGACUGAGACACGGCCCAGACUCCUACGGGAGGCAGCAGUGGGGAAUAUUGUACAAUGGGGGCAACCCUGAUACAGCAAUGCCGCGUGAGUGAAGAAGGCCUUAGGGUUGUAAAACUCUUUCGCUAGGGAAGAUAAUGACGGUACCUAGUAAAGAAGUCCCGGCUAACUCCGUGCCAGCAGCCGCGGUAAUACGGAGGGGACUAGCGUUGUUCGGAAUUACUGGGCGUAAAGAGUUCGUAGGCGGAUAAGCAAGUAAGAGGUGAAAGCCCAGGGCUCAACCCUGGAACUGCCUUUUAAACUGCUUAUCUAGAG